Fundulus heteroclitus (mummichog) is the source of this 268-nucleotide RNA transcript. RefSeq lists it as uncharacterized. NCBI's taxonomy places the organism in Eukaryota, Metazoa, Chordata, Actinopteri, Cyprinodontiformes, Fundulidae. The transcript is spliced from 3 exons. The record is from RefSeq and is a predicted model, not a curated record.
GGGGGAUGUUUUCCAGCCCAGAGUUCUGCUGCAUCGAUUAGUGUUGGCUGCAGAUGUUAAAGUAGAGGCUCCUGAAGAACAGAUUCCUGAGGGGGAGCCGCAGGAGUCAGAGCUCCUCCACAUAAAGGAGGAACAGGAGGAACCCGGGAUCCAUCAGGAAGGAGAGAAGCUCCUUUUGAAGGAGGAGACUGAUACCAAGUUUCCAUUAACUGAUGCUCCUAUCAACAUGUUUCCUGCAGAUGUUCAGCAGAAGCUGAUUGUUAAAGAA